UGGAGUGAAUAAUUUCAUUUGAUGGUACCUCAGGAGGAAGCACCGGCUAACCUCGUGCCAGCAGCCGCGGUAAUACGAGGGGUGCAAGCGUUGUUCGGAAUCACUGGGCGUAAAGCGUGCGCAGGCGGUUUUGUAAGACAGAUGUGAAAUCCCCGGGCUUAACCUGGGAACUGCGUUUGUGACUGCAAGGCUAGAGUACGGCAGAGGGGGUGGAAUUCCUGGUGUAGCAGUGAAAUGCGUAGAGAUCAGGAGGAACACCGAUGGCGAAGGCAGCCCCCUGGGCCUGUACUGACGCUCAUGCACGAAAGCGUGGGGAGCAAACAGGAUUAGAUACCCUGGUAGUCCACGCCCUAAACGAUGUCGACUAGUCGUUCGGAGCAGCAAUGCACUGAGUGACGCAGCUAACGCGUGAAGUCGACCGCCUGGGGGAGUACGGCCGCAAGGUUAAAACUCAAAAGGAAUUGACGGGGACCCCGCACAAGCGGUGGAUGAUGUGGAUUAAUUCGAUGC
Molecule: ribosomal RNA, 510 nt
Filed under: uncultured bacterium
Lineage: Bacteria
Description: bacterial SSU rRNA
Rfam family: Bacterial small subunit ribosomal RNA
Source: RNAcentral